UGCCAGACUCCUACGGGAGGCAGCAGUGGGGAAUAUUGCACAAUGGGGGGAACCCUGAUGCAGCAACGCCGCGUGGGUGAAGAAGUACUCCGGUAUGUAAAGCCCUGUCAGCAGGGAAGAAAAUGACGGUACCUGACCAAGAAGCCCCGGCUAACUACGUGCCAGCAGCCGCGGUAAUACGUAGGGGGCAAGCGUUAUCCGGAUUUACUGGGUGUAAAGGGAGCGUAGACGGCAAGGCAAGUCUGGAGUGAAAGCCCGUGGCCCAACCACGGGACUGCUCUUGGAACUGCGCGGCUGGAGUGCAGGAGGGGCAGGCGGAAUUCCUGGUGUAGCGGUGAAAUGCGUAGAUAUCAGGAGGAACACCGGUGGCGAAGGCGGCCUGCUGGACUGCGACUGACGUUGAGGCUCGAAAGCGUGGGGAGCAAACAGGAUUAGAUACCCGUGUA
RNAcentral lists this ribosomal RNA (446 nucleotides) under uncultured bacterium. RNAcentral's name for it is "bacterial SSU rRNA". It matches the Rfam family "Bacterial small subunit ribosomal RNA", at positions 329 to 792 of the family's 1533-position model. The record is from RNAcentral.